UCCUGGCUCAGAACGAACGCUGGCGGCGCGUCUUAAGCAUGCAAGUCGAACGGCAAGAGGUAGCAAUACCUCCUAGAGUGGCGGACUGGUGAGUAACACGUGGGUGACAUACCCUUCAGAUGGGGAUAGCUAUUAGAAAUAGUAGAUAAUACCGAAUACGAGCACAGGGGUUAGAGAUCUGUGAGGAAAGGAGCUAAGGCUCCGCUGAAGGAAUGGCCUGCGGCCCAUUAGCUAGUUGGUGAGGUAAGAGCCCACCAAGGCGAUGAUGGGUAUCCGGCCUUAGAGGGUGAACGGACACAUUGGGACUGAGAUACGGCCCAGACUCCUACGGGAGGCAGCAGCUAAGAAUAUUCCGCAAUGGACGAAAGUCUGACGGAGCGACGCCGCGUGGAUGAAGAAGGCCGGAAGGUUGUAAAAUCCUUUUGAAACUGAAGAAUAAGCGUUGUAGGGAAUGACAGCGUGGUGACAGUAGGUUUUGAAUAAGCAACGGCUAAUUACGUGCCAGCCGCUGC
RNAcentral lists this ribosomal RNA (512 nucleotides) under uncultured bacterium. RNAcentral describes it as "bacterial SSU rRNA". It matches the Rfam family "Bacterial small subunit ribosomal RNA", at positions 17 to 518 of the family's 1533-position model. The record is from RNAcentral.